Molecule: ribosomal RNA, 603 nt
Filed under: uncultured fungus
Lineage: Eukaryota; Fungi
Description: eukaryotic LSU rRNA
Rfam family: 5.8S ribosomal RNA (bases 238-389)
Source: RNAcentral
CUUGGUCAUUUAGAGGAAGUAAAAGUCGUAACAAGGUUUCCGUAGGUGACCUGCGGAAGGAUCAUUAUAGAGUUAGGGUCUUCUGGGCCCGAUCUCCACCCUUUGUUUAAAUACCACGUUGCUUUGGCGGGCCCGUCGCAGGACGGCAAAAAGCCUUUGGACUUUUGCCUAGUGCCCGUCAGUAGCCCCUUUAAACCUUGAUAAAUUAUGGUGUCUAAGUUACAAACGUAAUAGUUAAAACUUUAACAACGGAUCUCUUGGUUCUGGCAUCGAUGAAGAACGCAGCGAAAUGCAUAAGUAAUGCGAAUUGCAGAAUUCAGUGAGUCAUCGAAUCUUUGAACGACAUUGCGCCCUUUGGUAUUCCGAAGGGCAUGCCUGUUCGAGCGUCAUUUCGACCCUCAAGCCUAGCUUGUUGUUGGACCUUUCGUCGUCAAAGACGGUCCCAAAGACAAUGACAGAGUCUAUCGGAUUCUAGAUGCAACGAGCUUUAAUAGCACGCAUUGAAGUAGCCGGUGGCUUUGGUCUCAAAACCGAUUUUUUACAAGGUUGACCUCGGAUCAGGUAGGAAUACCCGCUGAACUUAAGCAAUCAAUAAGCGGAGGA